Molecule: ribosomal RNA, 488 nt
Filed under: Salmonella enterica subsp. enterica serovar Typhimurium
Lineage: Bacteria; Pseudomonadati; Pseudomonadota; Gammaproteobacteria; Enterobacterales; Enterobacteriaceae
Description: partial 23S ribosomal RNA
Rfam family: Bacterial large subunit ribosomal RNA
Source: RNAcentral
GCACGAAAGGCGUAACGAUUUGGGCACUGUCUCAACGAGAGACUCGGUGAAAUUUUAGUACCUGUGAAGAUGCAGGUUACCCGCGACAGGACGGAAAGACCCCAUGGAGCUUUACUGUAGUUUGAUAUUGAGUGUCUGUACCGCAUGUACAGGAUAGGUAGGAGCCGUAGAAAUCGGAACGCUAGUUUCGAUGGAGGCGCUGGUGGGAUACUACCCCUGCGUUAUGGCCACUCUAACCCGCACCACUAAUCGUGGUGGGAGACAGUGUCAGAUGGGCAGUUUGACUGGGGCGGUCGCCUCCUAAAAGGUAACGGAGGCGCCCAAAGGUUCCCUCAGAAUGGUUGGAAAUCAUUCGAAGAGUGUAAAGGCAGAAGGGAGCUUGACUGCGAGACCAACAAGUCGAGCAGGGACGAAAGUCGGGCUUAGUGAUCCGGUGGUUCCGCAUGGAAGGGCCAUCGCUCAACGGAUAAAAGCUACCCUGGGGAUAA